GCUUCUGGCUGGAGGUCUCAUCCAUCUGGCCAGGGAUAGAAGGCACUUCGGUGCUGCUGAAGGCACUGUCGUGAGCAGGAGCAAAUACGUCUGCUUACCUAAAGGAAAAACAGCAAAUUGUUAAGACCUGCACGGACCCCUGUGUCUAUCACCCAGAGUUUCUCAGCCCUCCUGGGGCUCCAGCAAGGCGCUGACGGUAUCAUGGAGGAUUUGCAAAGCUGCAGAAGACUGGAGAAGAGGCAAACAUUAAAAGAAAGGAAAGAAAGAGCUGAUAUGGGACAGAUGGAAUUUAUUUAAAGGCUAAAUAAAAAGCUGCCUGUUGGACUGUGCUGGGGAGAAGAAACUCAGGUGUGAAGUAGCAGCCUACAGGGGUUAGCCAAGACACACUCCUGGAGGAUAAGGCAUGAAGGAACUGGAGUUGUCUUCCUGAUGAUAAAGAAAACUCUCAGGUCCAGCUGUCAUCUGGGGCCAGGGAUGCCUGCCUUCCCACUCCUGGCAUGCACAGCUCUGCCUGCUGGGUGAGUUUUCAGACAGAUCAGCUCCUCGGGCCAGUUCAUGGUGCAGCUGUAUGUUGGCUUGUGAUGGCAUGACAUGAAGACAGCACAAAAAUAGACUGAAGGCACAGAUGGGAGAGACUCCAUUCAAAGGAAAGUGCUCAUCCGACUACAGCCUGAAAGAGCUCUGAAGCUUUUCCUUCCUAACUGUUAACAAAAUCUCUGUCAGGCAAUGUCCACAGUGAUUGUAAGGCUUUGCACUGGGAUAGGUUUGCCCUUCUUCUAAAUAUCUGUCUUCACAUGCCAGCUUCCCCUCCCCACUGAACAUAUGCAAGAGGAGUGAUGUGACAAGACAAACAGGAUGGAUACUGGAAAGCUGGGUGAGACCCAUCACUGCAACCUCCUGCUGCCAAACGCAUCUUUGAAUAGUGGGGAUCAAGGUGUGAUCCAUGCAGAGAUCCCCAGCUUUGCAAAGUGGGCACCUGAGCAGCAUGCAGGGGAGCAAACAUGAUACAAAGUACUGUCUUAGGUACACUGGAAGAAAACUGAGAAAUCUUAAUAAAUUGUGUGAGAAAUGACAUCACUCUUCCUUGGAUCUGAGAGGCUGAUUUCAUCCCAAGCCAUAUAUUUCACAGGAAUCUUUUUGACCCCUAAGCUGAAGGACAUUUUUCAGCAAGCCACUUCCUUUGUGCAUUUCCCACUGCACAGUUGACGUGAAUAGACAUGGCACGUCACAGCCUGGAACCAUUUCCAGCCUCGGUGCAGGUCAGCGGCUGUGCCAUGUCUGCAGAGCAAUUUGGCACAUUUCUAGUUUAACCCAGAAUAUCAGAUCAGCUUCUUAAAAUGGUUUUCAGCACUCCCAGAAAAGCAGCUUGCUUCAGCUGAAAGAACAAGAAGAGACUGAAAAAGAUUCUUUUCUCCAAAUCCUGACCAUAAUGUGAGCAAGUAUUGAGAAACUGCAUGUGGGAGUUGUAAACCAAACAAAGAUCAGUCCUACAGGAAAACACAACCACAGAACAGGAAAGGCCUAUUUCAAGGUUAUUACCCAAAGUGAUUGUUGUCUGUGUGAGAGAGAACUGUGAUAUUUAGGAAUGUCCACUGCAUUGUGAAACAUUCUUCACUUUUGGGAAGAAACAUCUAUUUUGCUGAUUGGUGUAAUAAUCUAAUAAUCAGUGUUCUGGGUAACUAAUAAAUAAUGGUUCCUUCCAUCUAAAAGGAACACUUUGAGGCCAUAUUUCUUAAACCCACAUGCCCUUAAUUAAGGAAAAUUGGAACUAUUGGCCUUUUGGUGGAUUUGCACCUUGCCUUGCGGCCACAAUUCUGUAAUAUCUCAUUAGUGGAUUAUAUCACAUUUGGAGUGAAGUAGAGGCAACACUGUUUAUUUAAAAGUGCCUAUUAAAAGGAUUUAAAAAAUAACUGUGCUGUGGGCAAUACCUACAGAGUAGUUAUUACUUAGGAUCAUGCAGAUUACGCAAAGGAAUUUCUUUAAAUUCCAAAUUUACUUGGCUCCUAUCAGGACUGAAACCAUUCCAAUCUGGCAGAUAGAUAUCAAACACAGAUAAACUGCAAAUUCUGCCUGUACCGACUCACCUAUGCUGUGUCUUCUGAUAACAUGGAGUUAUUCUUUGACCCUGAAACUCUUCUCUUUCCUGCUUGCCUUUAUGUCUCUAGGGCUUGAUCUGCUGGAGACAGUAGAAG
Cuculus canorus (common cuckoo) is the source of this 2192-nucleotide long non-coding RNA. RefSeq lists it as uncharacterized. The transcript has 4 exons. Lineage: Eukaryota; Metazoa; Chordata; Aves; Cuculiformes; Cuculidae. The record is from RefSeq and is a predicted model, not a curated record.